Molecule: ribosomal RNA, 484 nt
Filed under: uncultured bacterium
Lineage: Bacteria
Description: partial 16S ribosomal RNA
Rfam family: Bacterial small subunit ribosomal RNA
Source: RNAcentral
AUUGAACGCUGGCGGCAGGCCUAACACAUGCAAGUCGAGCGGAUGAAGUGAGCUUGCUCCUGGAUUCAGCGGCGGACGGGUGAGUAAUGCCUAGGAAUCUGCCUGGUAGUGGGGGAUAACGUCCGGAAACGGGCGCUAAUUCCGCAUACGUCCCGAGGGAGAAAGUGGGGGAUCUUCGGACCUCACGCUCUCAGAUGAGCCUAGGUCGGAUUAGCUAGUUGGUGGGGUAAAGGCCUACCAAGGCGACGAUCCGUAACUGGUCUGAGAGGAUGAUCAGUCACACUGGAACUGAGACACGGUCCAGACUCCUACGGGAGGCAGCAGUGGGGAAUAUUGGACAAUGGGCGAAAGCCUGAUCCAGCCAUGCCGCGUGUGUGAAGAAGGUCUUCGGAUUGUAAAGCACUUUAAGUUGGGAGGAAGGGCAGUAAGUUAAUACCUUGCUGUUUUGACGUUACCAACAGAAUAAGCACCGGCUAACUUCGUG